GGUCGAUUGGCUCAGCUGGUUAGAGCGCUCGGUUCACAUCCGGGAGGUCACUGGUUCGAAUCCAGUAUCGACCACCA
Molecule: transfer RNA, 77 nt
Filed under: FCB group bacterium
Lineage: Bacteria; Pseudomonadati
Description: tRNA-Val
Rfam family: tRNA
About the family: Transfer RNA (tRNA) molecules are approximately 80 nucleotides in length.
Source: RNAcentral